GCGGGCGCGCUCAGCUCACAGCUGUAAAACGCCUGGAAACCUGGAAAUGCGGAAAAAUCAGCCUUUCUGUGUCCACCCGUAAAUUGCAGUACGCGAAACAGGAAAAAUGAGCUUUUGUCCGUGUCCUGGGGAACUUGGAACAGAUACAGCUCUCAUCUGCCUUCAGGACAGCCCAGUGUGUGCAGAGAAAGCACCGUGAAGGGAGUUAGAAAGACUGGGCACGGUCAGUGGGUACCAGUUCGUCCCUGCUCAGCUGGUACCACACGAGCUCCAGGCUUUGAGGAGCCUCUGAAAUCCAGUAGCAUCCUUGGCGUUUGCUGAUCUCUGGUUCUCUUCUUGCCAUUGAAAUCCCGAUUUUUCUUGUUCAGAUGACUCAAAGCCCACUCU
Manis javanica (Malayan pangolin) is the source of this 387-nucleotide long non-coding RNA. RefSeq lists it as uncharacterized. NCBI's taxonomy places the organism in Eukaryota, Metazoa, Chordata, Mammalia, Pholidota, Manidae. The record is from RefSeq and is a predicted model, not a curated record.